GUCUUUGCUGCUGUCGCCUAAGAGGUGGACACAGCUCCCGAGGACUUACGCUAGAAGCCAAGCCAGUCUCCUCACCUGAAAAAUGGGAAGAGCAAAAUAUCCUACCCUAGAGGGUUGCUGUGAGAGCCGAAAGCGUCUAUCCACGUGAAGCACAUGGGACAGAGCCUGGCACAAAGAAAAUGCUUCCCAGCAAUGGAAAGCCCUGAUGGAGCCCGGUGUAAACUAUGCAGGGUGCCAGAGCCC
Molecule: long non-coding RNA, 243 nt
Filed under: Homo sapiens (human)
Lineage: Eukaryota; Metazoa; Chordata; Mammalia; Primates; Hominidae
Description: non-protein coding lnc-MTSS1-1:4
Source: RNAcentral